RNAcentral lists this ribosomal RNA (578 nucleotides) under uncultured bacterium. RNAcentral's name for it is "bacterial SSU rRNA". It matches the Rfam family "Bacterial small subunit ribosomal RNA", at positions 337 to 915 of the family's 1533-position model. The record is from RNAcentral.
GCAGAUGGGAGGCAGCAGUGAGGAAUAUUGGUCAAUGGACGAAAGUCUGAACCAGCCAUACCGCGUGAAGGAUGACGGCCUUAUGGGUUGUAAACUUCUUUUAUGUGGGAAUAAACCCAGGGACGUGUCCCUGGCUGAAUGUACCACAGGAAUAAGGAUCGGCUAACUCCGUGCCAGCAGCCGCGGUAAUACGGAGGAUCCAAGCGUUAUCCGGAUUUAUUGGGUUUAAAGGGUGCGUAGGCGGGCUAAUAAGUUAGUGGUGAAAGCCCGGGGCUUAACUCCGGAACUGCCAUUGAUACUGUUAGUCUUGAGUCAACUUGAAGUGGGCGGAAUAAGGCAUGUAGCGGUGAAAUGCAUAGAUAUGCCUUGGAACACCUAUUGCGUAGGCAGCUCACUAAAUUUGUACUGACGCUGAGGCACGAAGGCGUGGGGAGCGAACAGGAUUAGAUACCCUGGUAGUCCACGCCGUAAACGAUGAUCACUCGCUGUUGGCGAUAUACUGUCAGCGGCCAAGCGAAAGCAUUAAGUGAUCCACCUGGGGAGUACGCCGGCAACGGUGAAACUCAAAUGAAUUGACG